RNAcentral lists this ribosomal RNA (468 nucleotides) under uncultured bacterium. RNAcentral describes it as "partial 16S ribosomal RNA". It matches the Rfam family "Bacterial small subunit ribosomal RNA", at positions 28 to 507 of the family's 1533-position model. The record is from RNAcentral.
GACGAACGCUGGCGGCGUGCUUAACACAUGCAAGUCGAACGGAAAGGCCCUGCUUUUGUGGUGUGCUCGAGUGGCGAACGGGUGUGUAACAUGUGAGUAAUCUGCCCUUGACUUUGGGAUAACUUGAGGAAACUGGGUCUAAUAGGGGAUGGGAGCUCCUGCUUCAUGGUGGGGGUUGGAAAGUUUCGGCGGUUGGGGAUGGACUCGCGGCUUAUCAGCUUGUUGGUGGGGUAGUGGCUUACCAAGGCUUUGACGGGUAGCCGGCCUGAGAGGGUGACCGGCCACAUUGGGACUGAGAUACGGCCCAGACUCCUACGGGAGGCAGCAGUGGGGAAUAUUGCACAAUGGGCGGAAGCCUGAUGCAGCAACGCCGCGUGCGGGAUGACGGCCUUCGGGUUGUAAACCGCUUUCGCCUGUGACGAAGCGUGAGUGACGGUAAUGGGUAAAGAAGCACCGGCUAACUACGUG